RNAcentral lists this long non-coding RNA (1785 nucleotides) under Phasianus colchicus (ring-necked pheasant). Its description in RNAcentral is "lncRNA (ENSPCLG00000013505.1)". The record is from RNAcentral. Lineage: Eukaryota; Metazoa; Chordata; Aves; Galliformes; Phasianidae.
AUCCCACACUCAGGAACCAAAAUGGAACCAAUCCUGCAGUGCAAUGGACCCAAAAUGGAACCGAUCCCAUACUGCGGUAGAACCAAUCCCACACUGCAGUGGACCCAAAACAGAACCGAUCCCGCACUGCAGCGGAACCAAUCCCACAGUGCAAUGGACCCAAAAUGGAACCAAUCCUGCAGUGCAGUGGACCCAAAAUGGAACUGAUCCCACGGUGCAAUGGAACCAAAGUGGAAUCGAUCCUGUACUGCAGCAGGACCGGUCCCACAGUGCAAUGGAACCAGAAUGGAACCGAUCCCACGGUGCAAUGGAACCGAAAUGGAACCAAUCCCACAGUGUGACAGAACCGAUCCCACAGUGCAUUGGACCCAAACCAGAACCGAUCCUGCAGUGCAAUGGAACCAAAAUGGAACCAGAAUAAAACUGAUCCCGCAGUGCAAUGGAACCAGAAUGGAACCAGAAUGGAACCAGAAUGGAACCAGAAUGGAACCAGAAUGGAACCGAUCCCGCAGUGCCCACAGUUUCCCCGCACUGGGGGGUUUCCCACACUGACCCCCAUUUCUCCCUCACUCAGGUCCCACUCUGGGGGUUCCCACUUUGCGGUCCCACUCUUGGGUUCCCACUCUGGGGGUCCCACUCUGACCCCAUCCCACCGCCCCCAGAGUCACCACUGUGUCCCCACAGCUGGAGCUGCAUUGGGGUGGGCUGAGUGCCACAGUGGUGACAUUGAUGGAGGUGGGGAGCGUGGAGGUGACAUUACACGGGGACGGGGACUGCGGUGGUGACACUGGCCAAGGAGUGAAGGUGAGGACCGUGGAGGUGACAUCGCCUGGGGAUGGAGACCAUGGAGGUGACAUCUCAUGGGGAUGGGGACAGUGGAGGUGACAUCUCAUGGGGAUGGGGACAAGGGAGGUGACACUGAGCAAGGGCUGAAGAGGGGGACCAUGGAGGUGACAUCAGCUGGAAAUGGGGACCACAGCAGUGACAUCUCAUGGGGAUGGAGACAAUGGUUGUGACAUUGACCGAGAGCUGGGGAUGGGGACCAUGGAGGUGACAUUGACUGAGGAUGGGGAACAUGGAGGUGACAUCUCAUGGGGAUGGGGACAAUGGAGGUGGCACUGCAUGGAGAUGGGGACCAUGGUGACGGCAUCACCUGGGCGUGGGGACAAUGGAGGUGACAGUGACCAAGGGCUGGGAAUGGGACCAUGGAGGUGACAUCAUCUAAAGAUGGGGACAAUGGAGGUGACAUUGACUGAGGUUGGGGGCCACAGUGCUGACAUCUCAUGGGAAUGGGGACAAUGGAGGUGACACUGCAUGGGGAUGGGGACCAUGGAGAUGGCAUCAUCUAGAGAUGGGGACAAUGCAGGUGACAGUGACCAAGGGCUGGGAAUGGAACCAUCGAGGUGACAUCAUCUGGGGACGGGGACCAUGGAGGUGACAUCUCAUGGGGAAGGGGACAGUGAUGGUGACAUCUCAUGGGGAUGGGGACCACAGUGGUGACAUUGCGUGGACAUUGGGACCACAGUGUUGACAUCACAUGGAGAUGGGGACCAUGGAGGUGACACUGACUGAGGGUGGGGACCAGAGCGGUGACAUUCAUGGGGAUGGGGACCAUGGAGGUGACAUUGACUGAGGGUGGGGACCGAUGGGGACCAUGGAGGUGACAUUGACUGAGGGUGGGGACCAGACUGGUGACAUCUUAUGGGGGUGAGGACAAUGAAGGUGGCACUGCAUGGGGAUGGGGAACAUGGUGACGGCGUCACUUGGGGGUGGGGACAUUGAAGG